Molecule: ribosomal RNA, 465 nt
Filed under: uncultured bacterium
Lineage: Bacteria
Description: partial 16S ribosomal RNA
Rfam family: Bacterial small subunit ribosomal RNA
Source: RNAcentral
CCUACGGGUGGCAGCAGUGGGGAAUAUUGCGCAAUGGGCGAAAGCCUGACGCAGCGACGCCGCGUGAGGGAUGAAGGUCUUCGGAUCGUAAACCUCUGUCAGCAGGGAAGAACGGUCACUGUGCUAAUCAGCAGUGAAUUGACGGUACCUGCAAAGGAAGCACCGGCUAACUCCGUGCCAGCAGCCGCGGUAAUACGGAGGGUGCGAGCGUUAAUCGGAAUUACUGGGCGUAAAGCGCUCGUAGGCGGUAUGUCAAGUCAAGGGUGAAAUCCCCGCGCUCAACGUGGGAACUGCAUUUGAAACUGGCAAACUUGAGUGUGGGAGAGGAUAGUAGAAUUCCAGGUGUAGGAGUGAAAUCCGUAGAGAUCUGGAGGAACAUCAGUGGCGAAGGCGACUAUCUGGCACAUAACUGACGCUGAGGAGCGAAAGCGUGGGGAGCAAACAGGAUUAGAUACCCGGGUAGUC